UGCAAGUCGAACGAGCGAGAGAGAGCUUGCUUUCUCGAGCGAGUGGCGAACGGGUGAGUAACGCGUGAGGAACCUGCCUCAAAGAGGGGGAUAACCGGGAGAAAUUCCGACUAAUACCGCAUACGUCCUCCGGGGGCAUCCCCUGGGGAUGAAAGAAUUAUCGGUGAAGGAUGGGCAUGCGUGAUAUUAGGUAGUUGGCGGGGCAACGGCCCACCAAGCCCACGAUAUCUAGGGGUUCUGAGAGGAAGGUCCCCACAUUGGUACUGAGACACGGUCCAAACUCC
This 284-nucleotide ribosomal RNA is filed under the name uncultured bacterium. Its description in RNAcentral is "partial 16S ribosomal RNA". It matches the Rfam family "Bacterial small subunit ribosomal RNA", at positions 56 to 339 of the family's 1533-position model. The record is from RNAcentral.